AGUCGACAAGGUCUCCGUAGGGUGAACCUGCGGAGGGAUCAUUA
Molecule: ribosomal RNA, 44 nt
Filed under: Alternaria alternata
Lineage: Eukaryota; Fungi; Ascomycota; Dothideomycetes; Pleosporales; Pleosporaceae
Also listed under: 1 other name
Description: partial small subunit ribosomal RNA
Source: RNAcentral